CAAUACAAAUAUUAUCCCAUACUUUUACACAAUAAAAUCCAUUACAUUUAAAGAAGAAAGCAACACAGACCUCUUUAGCUAGCCAGUUGUCCCCUGAAGAAAUCCUCAGCCUGUGAAUCAUAAAGCAAACGACAGGUCUCCCACAUCCCACAUAUUUCUAAACAUUUCGCUUUCCAAUCACAUCAGCCAAUUUCAUUCUUUAAUGGAUUCACUCACAAUUGGUAGGACUUCCUCCUAG
Molecule: non-coding RNA, 238 nt
Organism: Pelobates cultripes (western spadefoot toad)
Lineage: Eukaryota; Metazoa; Chordata; Amphibia; Anura; Pelobatidae
Source: the annotation of a GenBank genome assembly